AUUGAACGCUGGCGGCAUGCUUUACACAUGCAAGUCGAACGGUAACAGGCCUUCUGGUGCUGACGAGUGGCGCACGGGUGAGUAAUGCACCGGAACGUGUCCCGAGGUGGGGGAUAACGCAGCCAAAGCUGUGCUAAUACCGCACGUGAUCUGAGGAUGAAAGCGGGGGACCAAGUAGCAAUGUUUGGCCUCGCGCCUCUGGAGCGGCCGAUGUCAGAUUAGGUAGUUGGUGGGGUAAAGGCCUACCAAGCCGACGAUCUGUAGCUGGUCUGAGAGGACGACCAGCCACACUGGGACUGAGACACGGCCCAGACUCCUACGGGAGGCAGCAGUGGGGAAUUUUGGACAAAGGGCGCAAGCCUGAUCCAGCAAUGCCGCGUGCGGGAAGAAGGCCUUCGGGUUGUAAACCGCUUUUGUACGGAACGAAAAGGCUCUGGCUAAUACCUGGCGCUGAUGACGGUACCGUAAGAAUAAGCACCGGCUAACUACGUG
RNAcentral lists this ribosomal RNA (492 nucleotides) under uncultured bacterium. Its description in RNAcentral is "partial 16S ribosomal RNA". It matches the Rfam family "Bacterial small subunit ribosomal RNA", at positions 30 to 507 of the family's 1533-position model. The record is from RNAcentral.